RNAcentral lists this long non-coding RNA (225 nucleotides) under Lathyrus oleraceus (garden pea). Its description in RNAcentral is "Pisum sativum (pea) long non-coding RNA (PSAT_LNC034571)". The record is from RNAcentral. Lineage: Eukaryota; Viridiplantae; Streptophyta; Magnoliopsida; Fabales; Fabaceae.
UUUGUCAUUUGAUAUUUUUUUGUGAAUUUUCUCUUUUCUGGUUAUUUUUAAUUCAUUUUAAAUAGUUUUUGAUAUUCAAAAAAUGCAAAAAUAUUUUCCUAACCUAUUUGAAUGAUGAUAUUUUUAAUUCAUUUUAAAUAGUUUUUGAUAUUCAAAAAAUGCAAAAAUAUUUUCCUAACCUAUUUGAAUGAUGAUGGAUCUAUGAAAAAUAUUCUCAUCAAUUUU